GCGAACGUUGGUGGUAGGCCUAACACAUGCAAGUCGAGCGCCCGGGCAACCGGGAGCGGCAGACGGGAGAGUAACACGUGGGAACGUACCCUUUAGUUCGGAACAACCCAGGGAAACUUGGGCUAAUACUGAAUACGUUCGUAAGGAGAAAGAUUUAUCGCUGAAGGAUCGGCCCGUGUCUGAUUAGCUAGUUGGUGAGGUAACGGCUCACCAAGGCGACGAUCAGUAGCUGGUCUGAGAGGAUGAUCAGCCUCAUUGGGACUGAGACACGGCCCAAACUCCUAUGGGAGGCAGCAGUGGGGAAUAUUGGACAAUGGGCGCAAGUCUGAUCCAGCCAUGCCGCGUGGGUGAUGAAGGCCCUAGGGUUGUAAAGCCCUUUCGGCGGGGAAGAUAAUGACGGUACCCGCAGAAGAAGCCCUGGCUAACUUCGU
RNAcentral lists this ribosomal RNA (431 nucleotides) under uncultured bacterium. Its description in RNAcentral is "bacterial SSU rRNA". It matches the Rfam family "Bacterial small subunit ribosomal RNA", at positions 29 to 506 of the family's 1533-position model. The record is from RNAcentral.